GAGAGUGGAAGGAAAAAGUGCGAGGAAUUAAAUUUUUUUCCUAUACUUCUUGCCGCUCAAUGGAAAGUGGCAAUGGAGAAAGAGACAAAGAGACAGAGAGAGAGAGAAAGAAAGAAAGAAAGAAAGAGAAGCAUGAUCCACACUGCUUGUCAAGGUCACACCUGUCACUGAGCCAAUCUCACACACAUUGUUGCUCGGUAACAACUUCUUGGCAGCUGCACAUCCUACAGAUGAAAUCUGAUCAUGUGUCCUAGGCAACCACUGACUCAACACUUACGAGUGUGACGUCCCCCAGGCCGG
Colossoma macropomum (tambaqui) is the source of this 300-nucleotide long non-coding RNA. RefSeq lists it as uncharacterized. Lineage: Eukaryota; Metazoa; Chordata; Actinopteri; Characiformes; Serrasalmidae. The transcript has 3 exons. The record is from RefSeq and is a predicted model, not a curated record.